This is a non-coding RNA of Arachis ipaensis, 292 nucleotides long. The record is from RefSeq and is a predicted model, not a curated record. Lineage: Eukaryota; Viridiplantae; Streptophyta; Magnoliopsida; Fabales; Fabaceae.
GAGGGAGGCGCCACUGAAAUACCCGACAGCAGCUUCCCCUGCAUUCCCAAUUCCAUUCUUGAAACUUCGUUCCUGUCGUUCAUGCCCCUACGCUGCACCUGUUUCUCUACUGCUAUUAUUUGGAGUACCGGCGUUGAUGCUAUUAUGAAUCUGUUAGAGUUGCUAUUGGGCUGUGAUUGCUCUUAAUUUCCAUCCAAUUUGAAUCCUUUGUUUGGUUACAACCCCGGUCACUGCCGUGAAGAUUAACAAUGCUGCUGUUCUGGUUGCUGCCUUUGCCAUUCCGGUUGUGUGA